AAGUCGUAACAAGGUAACCGUAGGUGAACCUGCGGUUGGAUCAUUACGAAAAUCCAAAAUAUCCUCUGCUUGCGCUGUCUAGCUUUCACAGCAAAACAGCGCAGCAGAUGAUACACACCUUCUGUGAACCAUUGAAAUGUAUUUCGGAGAGGUCAAGUUAAAACAGCGUGUAGAGCAAGGUCGCUCAUUCGAGAGACCUCCUUUGCAUGUGGACCAUCCGAGAAGUACGCACAUACCCCAAUAUCUUAUCUUCUGUAUCUAGUCUUAUAAAAGAGAAACAAUGAGAAACAACUUUAGACAACGGAUCUCUUGGCUCUC
RNAcentral lists this unclassified non-coding RNA (318 nucleotides) under Phlyctochytrium planicorne. Its description in RNAcentral is "partial internal transcribed spacer region". The stretch from base 1 to 46 matches the Rfam family "Eukaryotic small subunit ribosomal RNA", at positions 1786 to 1831 of the family's 1831-position model. The record is from RNAcentral. Lineage: Eukaryota; Fungi; Chytridiomycota; Chytridiomycetes; Chytridiales; Chytridiaceae.